AGGAUAAACGCUGGCGGCGUGCCUAAAACAUGCAAGUCGGACGGGCCCUUUCGGGGGUCAGUGGCGGACGGCUGAGUAACACGUGGGUGACCUGCCCUCGCGCGGGGGACAACCGCCCGAAAGGGUGGCUAAUACCGCAGAUGUCGUGUCUUCGGUGGCAUGACUGAACUCGGAAGGGGCGCGAGGAGGGGCCCGCGGCCGAUUAGCUCGUUGGUGGGGUGACGGCCUACCAAGGCGACGAUCGGUAGCUGGUCUGAGAGGAUGAUCAGCCAGACUGGGACUGCGAACGGCCCAGACUCCUACGGGAGGCAGCAGUUAGGAAUUUUGGGCAAUGGGGGCAACCCGUGACCCAGCAACGCCGCGUGGGUGACGAAGGCCUUCGGGUCGUAAAGCCCUUUCUCGGGGAAGAGUGGUGACGGUACCCGAGGAAGAAGCCCCGGCUAACUACGUGCCAGCAGCCGC
This 462-nucleotide ribosomal RNA is filed under the name uncultured soil bacterium. Its description in RNAcentral is "bacterial SSU rRNA". It matches the Rfam family "Bacterial small subunit ribosomal RNA", at positions 26 to 518 of the family's 1533-position model. The record is from RNAcentral.